AAGGCCAAGUUCUGGGUCCUAAGCUCACGGUCCGGGGAUGAGAGCACGCCCAGGACGACGGUGUUCAGUGACCAGACGUGGCCCAGCGAGGCCAGGUCGCAGGACGUCCCGGGAGGCCCUGUCCACAUCCCCACUGCCAGGCAGGCGGCUCCGAUGGGACAGGUGUGACUGGUCUCGGAAGCUGGGGUUUGAUUUUUCUUACCUGGAAGAGCUUUGGCCUUCGGAUACUGUGUUGCCAAACCUGUGUUUCCGACUUGAGCGUUUGUGGUGUAUUAUUCCCUUGGUGUUUUGUCACAAAACAACAGUUGUUAAUCAUUUUAGCCGCCUUCUCAAGGCAAGGGGUUUCCCCCUUACUUUUGUCGGGCCUCCUAGGAAACAGUGUGUUCCAAGGUCACUUGGCAGAGCUGAACCUUCUUUCUCUCUCUCUCUGCCGUUCGGCUCUCACAGCCGUGAAUCACCUGUAGCCUCCCAGACGCCUCCUCUCUGACUCAGGAGAGGGGCUCGCCAGAGCUCCUCCUCCAGAAGGACUGCUCAGGGGAUCUUUUUAACUUGCCCAAAGGCCUCAUCUGCUUCCCGAUAUUCUGUCCCUGGUCACACGCCAGGGGCAUCCAGGCUUCCCAGGGGCGUUAACAGGUCCCCACCGCCCUCUGCAGGGCCUCCCUGGUGAGUCCGGGCCUCAGCUGCCGCUCUCCAACCCCUUGCACAUUCCUGGUGAAAACAGCCCCCGCCCCGCCCGUCCGCUCUGGGAAAGGCUCUUUGCAUUGCCUUCGCCACCUCUUUCCACGGACCGUCAGUUGUAUGCUUUUCGGUGAAAACAGUGGAUCUGUCAGCUUUUUCCUUUGGUGCAUCCUCAAGAUCAGAGUUCGAAACAGAAUUUUCCUAAACCACUGAGGAUCGCCGAGUCACCCAGAAACAGCAGGUUCCUUGCUCGUCAAGGACGCAGUGCUGGUGGAGAAACGGACAAUCUCCGUUUCGGUCUGGGCCCUGAGGAGGAACAGAGCUUUUCAAGGAAGGCAGAGCGUGUUUAGGUCUCACAGCUCCUUCCCUUCCUCUGUUUGGUGCCCUGCAGGGUUUUCAAGUUCAAGUAGCACCAGACUCCUUGUGGGCAGGACCCAGGUCUGGCAGAGGAGGCCCGGUGGAAGGGCAGCCUCGGGUCCCUUCCAGCCGCUUCUGAAUCCGCUGCAUCUGUGUCUCCCCCGUAGGCGGGUCGCUGACCAAGCUGGCCUACUACUCCACCGUGCAGCACAAAGUUGCCAAAGUGCGGUCCUUCGACCACUCAGACAAGGUGAGCCUCCUGGGAGGACCCCGGGCAGGCCCUGGAAGCUUCUAGUGCCGAUGCCCCUCCCUCCACGCUCCCAGCUUAGCUCCCCUUCCAUCCCAGCCCUGGCAAGAGCACCCCCGCCUGCUCGUGCCCCCCCCCGCAUCUCCCACCUGCGUCGGCACCGAGACCCCCGCGGACUUCGGGGUAGGCAGACAUCGUCGGCGCUGCUGCGGGUGCCCAGGGGCUGCGUCUCAGCAUCGUCCCCUCCCCGAGGCAGCGCACACACGCGCGUUCCCCAACCUCACCCCCAGGACGCAGGGCAGGACCACGAGCCGCCCUACGAGAUCUCCGUCCAGGAGGAGGUUACCGCCAGGCUGCACUUUGUCAAGUUCGAGAACACCUACAUAGAAGCCUGCCUGGACUUCAUCAAAGACCACCUGGUCAACACCGAGACCAAGGUCAUCCAGGCGACCGGGGGCGGGGCGUACAAGUUCAAAGACCUCAUCGAAGAGAAGCUGCAGCUGAAGGUCGACAAGGAGGACGUGAUGACCUGCCUGAUCAAGGGCUGCAACUUCGUGCUGAAGAACAUCCCGCACGAGGCCUUCGUGUACCAGAAGGGCUCCAGCCCCGAGUUCCGGUUUCAGACCAACCACCCCAGCGUUUUCCCGUACCUCCUAGUCAGCAUCGGCUCUGGGGUCUCUAUCGUGAAGGUGGAGACAGAGGACAGGUUCGAGUGGAUCGGCGGCAGCUCCAUCGGGGGCGGCACCUUCUGGGGGCUUGGGGCUCUGCUCACCAAAACGAAGAAGUUUGACGAGCUGCUGCAUCUGGCUUCCAGAGGCCAGCACGCGAACGUGGACACGCUGGUGCAGGACAUCUACGGAGGGGCCCACCAGACCCUGGGGCUGAGCGGCAACCUCAUCGCGAGCAGCUUCGGGAAGUCGGCCACCGCGGACACGGAGUUCUCCAAGGAGGACCUGGCCAAGAGCCUGCUGCACAUGAUCAGCAACGACAUCGGGCAGCUCGCCUGCCUGUACGCCAAGCUCCACUGCCUGGACCGGGUGUACUUCGGCGGCUUUUUCAUCCGCGGCCACCCCGUCACCAUGCGUACCAUCACCUACAGCAUCAACUUCUUCUCCAAGGGGGAGGUCCAGGCGCUGUUCUUGAGGCACGAAGGCUACCUGGGCGCCAUAGGAGCGUUUCUUAAAGGAGCCGAGCAAGACAACCCCAACCAGUACAGCUGGGAGGAGAACUACGCCGGCAGCUCCGGGCUCAUGAGCUCCUCGCCCGAGCUCUGCCCGACGCAGCGCGCGAGGAGCGGCGCCUUCGACUUGCUGGAAAUGGACCGUCUGGAGAGGCCGCUCGUCAACCUGCCUCUCCUCCUGGACCCGUCCUCCUACGUGCCCGACACGGUCGACCUCACGGACGACGCGCUGGCCCGAAAGUACUGGCUCACCUGCUUUGAGGAGGCCCUGGACGGGGUUGUGAAACGCGCCGUGGCGAGCCAGCCGGGCUCCGUGGACGCAGCCGAGAGGGCCGAGAAGUUCCGCCAGAAGUACUGGAACAAGCUGCAGACGCUGCGGCACCAGCCCUUCGCUUACGGGGCCCUGACCGUGCGCAGCCUGCUGGACACGAGGGAGCACUGCUUGAACGAGUUCAACUUCCCGGACCCCUACUCCAAGGUGAAGCAGAAAGACAACGGCGUGGCAUUAAAGUGUUUCCAGAGGGUGAUCCACUCUCUGGACGCCCUGGGCUGGGAGGAGAGGCAGCUGGCCCUGGUGAAAGGGCUCCUGGCGGGCAACGUCUUCGACUGGGGAGCGAAAGCCGUCUCUGACGUCCUUGAGUCUGACCCCCAGUUCGGGUUUGAGGAGGCGAAGAGGAAGCUGCAAGAGCGGCCCUGGCUCGUGGACUCCUACAGCAAGUGGCUUCAGAGACUGAAGAUAACAGUGGAGUAGACGUCAUUUUGGGAGUCUUCCCCUUUGUCAGGGAGCUUCUCUCUAGAGGGACGGAGGUCAUCCUGGCGUGCAACUCGGGACCCGCCUUGAACGACGUGACCUACAGCGAGUCCCUCAUCGUGGCCGAGCGCAUCGCGGCCAUGGACCCCGUCGUCCG
Molecule: RNA transcript, 3370 nt
Organism: Physeter macrocephalus (sperm whale)
Lineage: Eukaryota; Metazoa; Chordata; Mammalia; Artiodactyla; Physeteridae
Gene: PANK4
Gene name: pantothenate kinase 4 (inactive)
Exons: 15
Source: RefSeq, a predicted model, not a curated record